This 1644-nucleotide long non-coding RNA is filed under the name Sorghum bicolor (sorghum). Its description in RNAcentral is "long non-coding RNA (SBIC_LNC000948)". The record is from RNAcentral. Lineage: Eukaryota; Viridiplantae; Streptophyta; Magnoliopsida; Poales; Poaceae.
UCUAUACUUCACCUUUGUUCUGGAGUUUUGUAUACGUUUUCAAAAAUAAAGCUCAGAGUUCCCGGCUAUGAUUUUCUCAAGUCUCUCUAUAUGUGGUAUUUGUGGAUCCUUAGCAAAAAUGUCACUUACCCAUAGCUAAUGGAAUAUUCAAGUGGAGCCCGUAGGAGUGAAAAAAUAGCUCGAGCCAUGGAUCCAAAGGAACUCAACAUAUAAUUAAAUCAAGAUGUGCAUGUGUGGUGGAGUAAAUGAUAGUAAUGGUGGAAAUAUAAGUAAUGAUAAAACUUACUUCUCAUUGCUCCUCAUGUUGCUAUUUCUCCUCCUUUCUUGAUCUUUGCUUUGGGAGAACAUGGGCUAUCUCUUUUUUUUAGGUGGGUAGUAAAUACCUCUAAUUCUACUGUCGGACACUUGUCCAUUUUGUUCUCCUAGGUGGGCAUCUUUGUGCCCCUAAUUCUACUCCAGACACUUGUCCAUUUUUACCUCUCGUCUCACUCUUUUUUUCUUUAUUUUUUGAGGUUCCGGGCACUUGCCCCUUUUUUUCUCGCAUAUUUUUGCAUAACCCAUGCCUCUUCUGCAUUGAAUCUUUUUGGAGAGAGAGAAUAACAACACUUGAGACAGUGAGUGAUAACAAUAUUUUAGUAGAUUUUUGAUGAAUGGUGAUGGAUGGUAUAAUAGAUGUGUGCAAGUGAGUAUCUUGGUUUAACCAAAUGAAAAGCUCCUAAGGGUCUACACAGCUCAACCAAACUCAAUGUGAAUAUAAGUAGCAAAAGAUAUAGAAAUUGUAGCAAGUAUGGCUGUGGUAGGGAUUUUCAUCAUGCUAGGAACUCAUCAUGUGAUUUGCAAAUUUUCAAAAUAAAUCUCCAGAACUUAGUGUAGUAGAACAAGAUAAACAACAGCUCAAACUUUAUAUCAUGUCCUUCUCUUACCUAGACUUUAGUUUUAGGUUCAUGCUUCCUAUAGAUAGUAAAUUUCAGUUUUAGUAAUUCCUCGGAGAACUCUAAUAUAAAAGCUAGGUACUUGAAAGUAAGCAAACAGAGAAACUGUUCAUCAUUUCCAUCAUGCAUCUUUUUGGUCUUUUAUUUUUCUAGAGAUUAUCACUUAGCAGGGAAAAUAAAGCACACUUAUCUACACACUCUUUUUAUUUUUUUUUCAUGUUUAUAGAAUGCAGUAAAUUAAAGUAAGAAAAUAUUUAUUGGGUUUUCUAAGUUUUUUUCUCUUUUAAGAUAAAUAAAACACUAAAACAAAAAAGAAUAAAUAAGAAGAGAAAAUAAAACUUACUUGAUAAAACGGGGAGGAACUCCCCCAAGCUAGAUGUGGUUGUCAGUCUUAUCCAAUGUUCCGAAAUUGCAUCAUGGUGGUGAUGUUGUCGUUCAUCGUCGUGGUGUCUUGCCUCAGUUCUUGUACUGCAGCGACAUGGUCCAGGUUCUAAUUUUGUUGCUGUUCCAGGAGUCAUCCAUGUUCUGCUUGCGUAUUCUUGAUGUCGAGGAGGGUGUUGUUGGUACGGGUGAAGAAGGCGCCGGCCUCUUGGUAGUAGUCGUUCGUGAAAGCAUAAGAGGCGUCGGAGUACCGUCCUGCAUCGAAUUGGGGCUGGGGUCUAGACCCUGAAGCUCCAUAUGGAUCAGUGGAGUACCUGCUUGUACGGAAAGG